Molecule: ribosomal RNA, 1332 nt
Filed under: uncultured marine archaeon
Lineage: Archaea
Description: partial 16S ribosomal RNA
Rfam family: Archaeal small subunit ribosomal RNA
Source: RNAcentral
UUGAUCCUGCCGGACCUGACUGCUAUCGGAUUGAUACUAAGCCAUGCGAGUCUUUGUAGCAAUACAAGGCAUACGGCUCAGUAACGCGUAGUCAACCUAACCUAUGGACGGGAAUAACCUCGGGAAACUGAGAAUAAUGCCCGAUAGAACACUAUAUCUGGAAUGGUUUGUGUUCCAAAUGAUUUAUCGCCGUAGGAUGGGACUGCGGCCUAUCAGUUUGUUGGUGAGGUAAUGGCCCACCAAGACUAUUACAGGUACGGGCUCUGAGAGGAGUAGCCCGGAGAUGGGUACUGAGACACGGACCCAGGCCCUAUGGGGCGCAGCAGGCGAGAAAACUUUGCAAUGUGCGAAAGCACGACAAGGUUAAUCCGAGUGGUUUCUGCUAAAGGAAUCUUUUGUUAGUCAUAGAACCACUAACGAAUAAGGGGUGGGCAAGUUCUGGUGUCAGCCGCCGCGGUAAAACCAGCACCUCAAGUGGUCAGGAUGAUUAUUGGGCCUAAAGCAUCCGUAGCCGGCUCUGUAAGUUUUCGGUUAAAUCUGUACGCUCAACGUACAGGCUGCCGGGAAUACUGCAGAGCUAGGGAGUGGGAGAGGUAGACGGUACUCGGUAGGAAGUGGUAAAAUGCUUUGAUCUAUCGAGGACCACCAGUUGCGAAGGCGCCACACUAGAACGGAUCCGACGGUCAGGGACGAAGCCUAGGGGCACGAACCGGAUUAGAUACCCGGGUAGUCCUAGGUGUAAACGCUGUGGACUUGGUGUCGGGGAUCCUCUAAGGGUUCUCGGUGCCGCAGCGAAGGUGUUAAGUCCACUGCCUGGGGAGUACGGUCGCAAGGCUGAAACUUAAAGGAAUUGGCGGGGGAGCACUGCAACGGGAGGAGCGUGCGGUUUAAUUGGAUUCAACGCCGGAAAACUCACCAGGGCCGACUGUCAAAUGAAGACCAGCGUAAUGAGCUUGUCGGAUUGUCAGAGAGGUGGUGCAUGGCCGCCGUCAGUUCGUACCGUAAGGCGUUCUGUUAAGUCAGAUAACGAACGAGACCCUCAUCCUCAUUUGCUACUCAGUUCUCGCGAAUUGAGGCACUAUGAGGAGACCGCUGGCGCGAAGUCAGAGGAAGGCGAGGGCAACGGUAGGUCAGUAUGCCCCGAAUGUCCUGGGCUACACGCGCGCUACAAAGGAUGGGACAAUGGGAAGCCACGCCGAGAGGCGGAGCUAUCCCGAAACCCAUUCAUAGUUCGGAUUGAGGGCUGUAAGUCGCCCUCAUGAAGCUGGAUUCCGUAGUAAUCGUGUCUCAAAAUGGCACGGUGAAUAUGCCCCUGCUCCUUGCACACACCGC